This 456-nucleotide ribosomal RNA is filed under the name Triticum aestivum (bread wheat). RNAcentral describes it as "partial small subunit ribosomal RNA". Lineage: Eukaryota; Viridiplantae; Streptophyta; Magnoliopsida; Poales; Poaceae. The record is from RNAcentral.
AUGAAAAUUAAUGUGGAUGCUGCAGUGGGCAGAGGGGGGCGACAUGGAGCAGUCGCGGCGAUCUGUCGAAGCAAUGAUGGUUCUUUUCCAGGUGCAUCAUCGAUAGUAUUCACAAACCAAGGCGAUCCGGCUACCCUCGAAGCAAUGGCGAUCAGGGAAGGUUUGGCGUUAGCCCAAGAUUUGAAUGUGCACCGAAUACAUCUAGCGUCGGAUUGCCAAGGCGUGGUGGCUGAGAUCAAAUCUGGGAGUGGAUCGGCUUAUGGUGCUAUCAUAGAGGAAAUUAAGUUAUCUAUUCCUUCUUUUAUUUCAUGUAACAUAGUUCAUGAGUUUAGGAGCUCCAAUAAGGAGGCUCACAAUCUAGCGAAGCAUGCAUUAAGGUUAGGGCCUGGGCGUCAUGUAUGGCUGGGCCAUCCGGAAGGUCUUUCUUUCGUCCCUGUAAACAUUGUGACGGGUUGA